GAUGAACGCCGGCGGUGUGCCUAAUACAUGCAAGUCGAGCGCACUGGCCCAACUGAUAUGACGUGCUUGCACUGAAUUGACGUUGGAUUCCCAGUGAGCGGCGGACGGGUGAGUAACACGUGGGCAACCUGCCCUGAAGCGGGGGAUAACAUCUGGAAACAGGUGCUAAUAUCGCAUAACAACGAAAACCGCAUGGUUUUCGUUUCAAAGAUGGUUUCGGCUAUCACUUCAGGAUGGGCCCGCGGUGCAUUAGCUAGUUGGUAAGGUAACGGCUUACCAAGGCGAUGAUGCAUAGCCGAGUUGAGAGACUGAUCGGCCACAAUGGAACUGAGACACGGUCCAUACUCCUACGGGAGGCAGCAGUAGGGAAUCUUCCACAAUGGGCGCAAGCCUGAUGGAGCAACACCGCGUGAGUGAAGAAGGGUUUCGGCUCGUAAAGCUCUGUUGUUGGAGAAGAACGUGCGUGAGAGUAACUGUUCACGCAGUGACGGUAUCCAACCAGAAAGUCACGGCUAACUACGUGCCAGCAGCCGCGGUAAUACGUAGGUGGCAAGCGUUAUCCGGAUUUAUUGGGCGUAAAGCGAGCGCAGGCGGUUGUUUAGGUCUGAUGUGAAAGCCUUCGGCUUAACCGAAGAAGUGCAUCGGAAACCGGGCGACUUGAGUGCAGAAGAGGACAGUGGAACUCCAUGUGUAGCGGUGGAAUGCGUAGAUAUAUGGAAGAACACCAGUGGCGAAGGCGGCUGUCUGGUCUGCAACUGACGCUGAGGCUCGAAAGCAUGGGUAGCGAACAGG
This 792-nucleotide ribosomal RNA is filed under the name uncultured Lactobacillus sp. Its description in RNAcentral is "bacterial SSU rRNA". It matches the Rfam family "Bacterial small subunit ribosomal RNA", at positions 28 to 776 of the family's 1533-position model. The record is from RNAcentral. Lineage: Bacteria; Bacillati; Bacillota; Bacilli; Lactobacillales; Lactobacillaceae.